This 468-nucleotide ribosomal RNA is filed under the name uncultured Pseudomonadota bacterium. RNAcentral describes it as "bacterial SSU rRNA". It matches the Rfam family "Bacterial small subunit ribosomal RNA", at positions 355 to 815 of the family's 1533-position model. Lineage: Bacteria; Pseudomonadati; Pseudomonadota. The record is from RNAcentral.
UGGGGAAUAUUGGUCAAUGGGCGCAAGCCUGAACCAGCCACGCCGCGUGAGUGAUGAAGGCCUUCGGGUUGUAAAGCUCUGUGGGGAGGGAAGAAAACGGCCGGUAAGAAACGACCGGUCCUUGACGGUACCUCCUUAGCAAGCACCGGCUAACUCUGUGCCAGCAGCCGCGGUAAUACAGAGGGUGCGAACGUUGCUCGGAAUUACUGGGCGUAAAGCGCGUGUAGGCGGACUCGCAAGUCAGAUGUGAAAUCCCCGGGCUCAACUCGGGAACUGCAUCUGAAACUGCGAGCCUUGAGUACCGGAGAGGGUGGCGGAAUUCCUGGUGUAGAGGUGAAAUUCGUAGAUAUCAGGAGGAACACCGGUGGCGAAGGCGGCCACCUGGACGGUAACUGACGCUGAGACGCGAAAGCGUGGGGAGCAAACAGGAUUAGAUACCCUGGUAGUCCACGCCGUAAACGAGUGGGU